UGAGGAAUAUUGGACAAUGGGCGCAAGCCUGAUCCAGCCAUGCCGCGUGCAGGAUGACGGUCCUAUGGAUUGUAAACUGCUUUUGUACAGGAAGAAACAGUUCUACGUGUAGAACCUUGACGGUACUGUAAGAAUAAGGAUCGGCUAACUCCGUGCCAGCAGCCGCGGUAAUACGGAGGAUCCGAGCGUUAUCCGGAAUCAUUGGGUUUAAAGGGUCCGUAGGCGGUUAGAUAAGUCAGUGGUGAAAGCCCAUCGCUCAACGGUGGAACGGCCAUUGAUACUGUCUGACUUGAAUUAUUAGGAAGUAACUAGAAUAUGUAGUGUAGCGGUGAAAUGCUUAGAGAUUACAUGGAAUACCAAUUGCGAAGGCAGGUUACUACUAAUGGAUUGACGCUGAUGGACGAAAGCGUGGGUAGCGAACAGGAUUAGAUACCCGUGUAGUCCCUGAGCGGGCUGGCAAGGCGCAU
RNAcentral lists this ribosomal RNA (467 nucleotides) under uncultured bacterium. Its description in RNAcentral is "bacterial SSU rRNA". It matches the Rfam family "Bacterial small subunit ribosomal RNA", at positions 355 to 825 of the family's 1533-position model. The record is from RNAcentral.